CCUACGGGCGGCAGCAGUGAGGAAUAUUGGUCAAUGGACGAGAGUCUGAACCAGCCAAGUAGCGUGAAGGAUGACUGCCCUAUGGGUUGUAAACUUCUUUUAUAAAGGAAUAAAACGAGGCACGUGUGCCUUUUUGCAUGUACUUUAUGAAUAAGGAUCGGCUAACUCCGUGCCAGCAGCCGCGGUAAUACGGAGGAUCCGAGCGUUAUCCGGAUUGAUUGGGUUUAAGGGGAGCGUAGAUGGGUUGUUAAGUCAGUUGUGAAAGUUUGCGGCUCAACCGUAAAAUUGCAAUUUAUACUGGAAGUCUUGAGUACAGUUGAGGUAGGCGGAAUUCGUGGUGUAGCGGUGAAAUGCUUAGAUAUCACGAAGAACCCCGAUUGCGAAGGCAGCUUACUAAACUGUGACUGACAUUGAUGCUCGAAAGUGUUGGUAUCAAACAGGAUUAGAUACCCGUGUAGUC
Molecule: ribosomal RNA, 460 nt
Filed under: uncultured bacterium
Lineage: Bacteria
Description: partial 16S ribosomal RNA
Rfam family: Bacterial small subunit ribosomal RNA
Source: RNAcentral